GUCAAUUCAAAACAGACUGUAUUUCACC
This 28-nucleotide non-coding RNA is filed under the name Rattus norvegicus (Norway rat). The record is from RNAcentral. Lineage: Eukaryota; Metazoa; Chordata; Mammalia; Rodentia; Muridae.